Molecule: ribosomal RNA, 403 nt
Filed under: Fusobacteriota bacterium
Lineage: Bacteria; Fusobacteriati; Fusobacteriota
Description: Fusobacteria bacterium partial 16S ribosomal RNA
Rfam family: Bacterial small subunit ribosomal RNA
Source: RNAcentral
UGGGGAAUAUUGCACAAUGGAGGGAACUCUGAUGCAGCGACGCCGCGUGAGUGAUGAAGGAAUUCGUUUCGUAAAACUCUGUUCUAUGGGAAGAAAAGGACUGUACCAUAGGAGAAAGCUCCGGCUAAAUACGUGCCAGCAGCCGCGGUAAUACGUAGGGGGCUAGCGUUGUCCGGAAUCACUGGGCGUAAAGGGUUCGCAGGCGGAAAUGCAAGUCAGGUGUAAAAGGCAGUAGCUUAACUACUGUAAGCAUUUGAAACUGCAUAUCUUGAGAAGAGUAGAGGUAAGUGGAAUUUUUAGUGUAGCGGUGAAAUGCGUAGAUAUUAAAAAGAAUACCGGUGGCGAAGGCGACUUACUGGGCUCAUUCUGACGCUGAGGAACGAAAGCGUGGGUAGCAAACAGG